CCAAUAGCGUAUAUUAAAGUUGCUGCAGUUAAAAAGCUCGUAGUUGAAUUUCGGGACCAAUAUGUCGGUCGUGCCUCGGUACGUACUGGCAUCGUUGGUUUCUCCCUUCUGACGAACCAUGAUGUCAUUUAUUUGGUGUCGUGGGGAAUCAGGACUGUUACUUUGAAAAAAUUAGAGUGUUUAAAGCAGGCUCACGCUUGAAUACAUUAGCAUGGAAUAAUGAAAUAGGACGUUUGAUUCUAUUUUGUUGGUUUCUAGGAUCGACGUAAUGAUUAAUAGG
RNAcentral lists this ribosomal RNA (280 nucleotides) under uncultured Glomus. RNAcentral's name for it is "partial 18S small subunit ribosomal RNA". It matches the Rfam family "Eukaryotic small subunit ribosomal RNA", at positions 591 to 876 of the family's 1831-position model. Lineage: Eukaryota; Fungi; Glomeromycota; Glomeromycetes; Glomerales; Glomeraceae. The record is from RNAcentral.